This 497-nucleotide ribosomal RNA is filed under the name uncultured bacterium. RNAcentral's name for it is "partial 16S ribosomal RNA". It matches the Rfam family "Bacterial small subunit ribosomal RNA", at positions 28 to 507 of the family's 1533-position model. The record is from RNAcentral.
GAUGAACGCUGGCGGCGUGCCUAAUACAUGCAAGUCGAGCGAACAGACGAGGAGCUUGCUCUUCUGACGUUAGCGCCGGACGGGUGAGUAACACGUGGAUAACCUACCUAUAAGACUGGGAUAACUUCGGGAAACCGGAGCUAAUACCGGAUAAUAUAUUGAACCGCAUGGUUCAAUAGUGAAAGACGGUUUUGCUGUCACUUAUAGAUGGAUCCGCGCCUCAUUAGCUUGUUGGUAAGGUAACGGCUUACCAAGGCCACGAUGCGUAGCCGACCUGACAGGGUGUUCGGCCACAUCGGAAGAGAGGCACAGUCAGGACACCUACGCUGAGCGGCAGUAGUGAAGCUACCGGAAUGCGCGAGUGCCUGACGGAGCAAAGCCGCGUGAAUGCUGAAGAUCUUCGGAGCGUAAAACUCUGUUAUUAGUGAAGAACAAAUGUGUAAGUAACUAUGCACGUCUUGACGGUACCUAAUCAGAAAGCCACGGCUAACUACGUG